Molecule: ribosomal RNA, 275 nt
Filed under: uncultured prokaryote
Description: partial 16S ribosomal RNA
Rfam family: Bacterial small subunit ribosomal RNA
Source: RNAcentral
UACGUAGGUGGCGAGCGUUAUCCGGAAUUAUUGGGCGUAAAGAGCGCGCAGGUGGUUGAUUAAGUCUGAUGUGAAAGCCCACGGCUUAACCGUGGAGGGUCAUUGGAAACUGGUCAACUUGAGUGCAGAAGAGGGAAGUGGAAUUCCAUGUGUAGCGGUGAAAUGCGUAGAGAUAUGGAGGAAUACCAGUGGCGAAGGCUACUUUCUGGACUUAUACUGACGCUGAGGAACGAAAGCGUGGGGAGCAAACGGGAUUAGAUACCCGGGUAGUCCCU